RNAcentral lists this ribosomal RNA (418 nucleotides) under uncultured Glomeromycotina. Its description in RNAcentral is "SSU rRNA". It matches the Rfam family "Eukaryotic small subunit ribosomal RNA", at positions 676 to 1092 of the family's 1831-position model. Lineage: Eukaryota; Fungi; Glomeromycota. The record is from RNAcentral.
AUGACUGGUACAAUUGGUUUCUCCCUUCUGACGAAGCAUGAUGUCAUUAAUUUGGUGUCGUGGGGAAUUAGGACUGUUACUUUGAAAAAAUUAGAGUGUUUAAAGCAAGCAUUAGCUUGAAUACAUUAGCAUGGAAUAAUGAAAUAGGACGUUUGAUCCUAUUUCGUUGGUUUCUAGGAUCGACGUAAUGAUUAAUAGGGAUAGUUGGGGGCAUUAGUAUUCAAUUGUCAGAGGUGAAAUUCUUGGAUUUAUUGAAGACUAACUACUGCGAAAGCAUUUGCCAAGGAUGUUUUCAUUAAUCAAGAACGAAAGUUAGGGGAUCGAAGACGAUCAGAUACCGUCGUAGUCUUAACCAUAAACUAUGCCGACUAGGGAUCGGAUGAUGUUAAUUUUUUAAUGACUCAUUCGGCGCCUUACG